UACGUAGGGUGCGAGCGUUGUCCGGAAUUAUUGGGCGUAAAGAGCUCGUAGGCGGUGUGUCGCGUCGGCCGUGAAAACCUGGGGCUCAACCCCGGGCCUGCAGCCGAUACGGGCAAGCUAGAAUUCGGUAGGGGAGACUGGAAUUCCUGGUGUAGCGGUGAAAUGCGCAGAUAUCAGGAGGAACACCGGUGGCGAAGGCGGGUCUCUGGGCCGAUAUUGACGCUGAGGAGCGAAAGCGUGGGGAGCGAACAGG
Molecule: ribosomal RNA, 253 nt
Filed under: uncultured bacterium
Lineage: Bacteria
Description: partial 16S ribosomal RNA
Rfam family: Bacterial small subunit ribosomal RNA
Source: RNAcentral